Molecule: non-coding RNA, 1451 nt
Organism: Chlorocebus sabaeus (green monkey)
Lineage: Eukaryota; Metazoa; Chordata; Mammalia; Primates; Cercopithecidae
Source: the annotation of a RefSeq genome assembly
CUGUAGCUAGGAGGGGUGACAGCUAAUGGGGGUGUUUAGAGUCUUUGAGUGAACCAACCACAUCAAAGAGUAAUUGUAAUUUAUUUCACCCUAUCUUCUGUAGCAUUCACCUUUGGAGGAAGUUCCUUUGAGCAGGGACAGAGAUGGUGAUGUCACUGACAGUCCCCCCUUUUAUUCUGGGUGAAAGGUCUAGAAUCCUCAGCUCCAGUAUUCAUUCCCACAAAGGUCUCAUCUAGGUGAAGGCUCCACCUGCCCCCCACCCCCCACCCCGCCAUGGCCACCAGGCUCCUCCGCUGUCUGGUCCUUUGUCUCCUGGGAGAAGAGCUCAUAGAUGCUGGAGUCACCCAGACACCAAGGCACAAGGUGACAGAGAUGGGACAAGAAGUAACUAUGAGAUGUCAGCCAAUUUUAGGCCACAAUACUAUUUUCUGGUACAGACAGACCAUGAUGCAAGGACUGGAGUUGCUGGUUUACUUACGCAACAAGGCUCCUCUAGAUGAUUCAGGAAUGCCCAAGGAUCGAUUCUCAGCAGAGAUGCCUAAUGCAUCUUUAGCUACUCUGAAGAUCCAGCCCUCAGAACCCAGGGACUCGGCUGUGUAUCUUUGUGCCAGUGGUUUGGUCACAGUGCUGCAGAAUCGCCUGCUCCCUGUGCAGAAACCCUGGUGCUUUCUCUUCUCCUCCAGUACCCAGCAGCUCUCAGCAGCCUUUCUUGCUCCUCCCCCAGCACAGGAAGUAUGUAGGUUUGGUGUUCCACAUGUCCCUAGGCAAGGCAAGAACAGGUCAUAAGGAUGCAUCAUGUUAGGAAACUUUUGGCAGGAAGUCAGGGGGUGCAAUGGUUCCUGGGAUUCCUCACAUACUUCUCACAAGGGUGCCUGAGACCAGGUUUGAGGGUGAGUGUCACAGACUGGAGCUUUUAAGUGAUCGAGUGAGCUUAACACUGUGCAGCCAUUGCACAUGAAUGCUUCUCUCCUUUGCUGCUUUUCAUUAUGACUUCUCUGCCAUUUCUUUUCUCUUCUACCUUAAAACUUUCAACAUCUUUGAUGACUUCCCACAUCAAUCUUGGCUUCCCAGUUGUUUCAGUUGCUCACUUCAAAUGAUCAUUUCCUUCACCUUCUUCUCCACUUUCUUUUUCUAGACUUCCAAUAACAAAUUAUUUGAAUUACCCCCAAACAGCUUCCUCAAGCCUCCUAUUGUCUCAUGCAGGCUUCUCCUUUCAUCUCUGGUACUAUUUCUGCAGCAAUUCUUCAACCCCAUCAGGACCACUAAUUGACUUCUCCUGCAAACAUUGCACCAUAUAUCAUCUCAUGCACUAUAUUCAUUAUCCGACUUAGACUAUUCUAAGUGUUCUAAGAUGAUUGUGAAAUUCUUGCAUAUGUCUUCAACUCUCAUCUUUUCUUUUUCUGUUUCUUACCUGGAAAGAGACCUUUCUUACCUGAAAGGGCCACUGAGUA